Non-coding RNA from Ciona intestinalis (vase tunicate), 1081 nucleotides. NCBI's taxonomy places the organism in Eukaryota, Metazoa, Chordata, Ascidiacea, Phlebobranchia, Cionidae. The record is from RefSeq and is a predicted model, not a curated record.
GAAUAUCAUGGAUGUGGUCUAUAAAACGACUUAUACGCCAUCAAGCAUAAUUUCCACUAGAUGUGUUUUAAGGCUAACACGCCGGUUAACAGGAAUAAACGACUCGAACCAUCCAUUCCAAUAGUAGAAAAUACCUAUAAAUAUACCAAAACCGUGAAAUCAUCAGAAAGUCCUGCCCAAGGACCGUCGCUUGCUAUUAGGCCUACCUUUCGGAGUAUAGUCUUCCGUGUUUUUGUUUUUAUAAAGUCAAAAAUAAAUCCACUUCCCAUUCGAGCAGACUGAUCAAGUUGAGUGUGUCAACGAAGACAGCAAUCCAACCUGUCACAUAUUAAAAUACUUGUAGUAGGGUGAGGAAAGAUGAAAACCUUUUGAUCCUGUUUUUUCGUUCCAUUUGGUAGUAAACAAAAAACAUUAAAGAAUUAUAAAACCGCAUCCAUACGACUCCUAAAUACCGUGUUGGUAAUUGCUUAAAACAUUUUUAGGAUAUGAUGUCCCAUCUUACCCCACAGUACUAUCAUAGUGUAUUGAGUUAAAGACAUAAAAUUUCUGGAAACACUUUGAAUUAUAAGCAGUCCAUAAUGAACAAAUCUCUGAUGACUGAAGUAAUACCAGAACCUGCGGCUCAAGAACGAACAAGAACAAGCAAAUAGUAAACUACGCCGCGCCUUUUAGACAGAAACAGUAACAGAUAGCAGACGCCAGUCCUCUAGUCUAAAGUAACUGUGCAACAUGGUUGUCUAUUGCAGAAGAUUGCACAAAAUUGUAAUCAUAUAAAUAGAAAAUCAUCUUGCCAGCAAAGAACAUUGGGCAUUUUUGCUACGCAGUGUACACAGAAAACAGUUGAAAUAUCAUUUGCUAAUUUUAAAUACAACGGAAUAUAGUGCUAAAAGAGAAAAAUGCAAUACCAGCUUUUGCGGGAAGGCGUGCACGGCAUUAGGUUCAAUUUUCGGCGAAAAGUGCAUUUGAUAUGUACAGUCGCAAUGAGCACAUAUAGUUAAUACAUUUGUAAUCGGCACAGUGUAAUGUUAAUGGGACUGGAACCCUGGAUGAUCAUUAGAAUUGAGAGUACUAGUGAGAAAAA